AAACAUCUAAGUACCCCGAGGAAAAGAAAUCAACCGAGAUUCCCUCAGUAGCGGCGAGCGAACGGGGAUUAGCCCUUAAGCAUCUUGGAAGUUAGUGGAACGGUCCUGGAAAGGCCGGCGAUACAGGGUGAUAGCCCCGUACACGAAAACAACCUUGAUGUGAAAUCGAGUAGGGCGGGACACGUGACAUCCUGUCUGAAUAUGGGGGGACCAUCCUCCAAGGCUAAAUACUCCUGACUGACCGAUAGUGAACCAGUACCGUGAGGGAAAGGCGAAAAGAACCCCUGUGAGGGGAGUGAAAUAGAACCUGAAACCGUGUACGUACAAGCAGUGGGAGCCCUUCGGGGUGACUGCGUACCUUUUGUAUAAUGGGUCAGCGACUUACAUUUUGUAGCGAGGUUAACCGUAUAGGGGAGCCGUAGGGAAACCGAGUCUUAACUGGGCGUCUAGUUGCAAGGUGUAGACCCGAAACCGGGUGAUCUAGCCAUGGGCAGGUUGAAGGUUGAGUAACAUCAACUGGAGGACCGAACCCACUAACGUUGCAAAGUUAGGGGAUGACCUGUGGCUGGGGGUGAAAGGCCAAUCAAACUCGGAGAUAGCUGGUUCUCCCCGAAAGCUAUUUAGGUAGCGCCUCGGACGAAUACUACUGGGGGUAGAGCACUGUUUGGGCUAGGGGGUCAUCCCGACUUACCAACCCCAUGCAAACUCCGAAUACCAGUAAGUAAUAUCCGGGAGACACACGGCGGGUGCUAACGUCCGUCGUGAAGAGGGAAACAACCCAGACCGCCGGCUAAGGUCCCAAAGUUCUGGUUAAGUGGGAAACGAUGUGGGAAGGCUCAGACAGCUAGGAUGUUGGCUUAGAAGCAGCCAUCAUUUAAAGAAAGCGUAAUAGCUCACUAGUCGAGUCGGCCUGCGCGGAAGAUGUAACGGGGCUCAAACCAGGCACCGAAGCCGCGGAUUCACGCUAAG
This 969-nucleotide ribosomal RNA is filed under the name Aeromonas dhakensis. Its description in RNAcentral is "partial 23S ribosomal RNA". It matches the Rfam family "Bacterial large subunit ribosomal RNA", at positions 196 to 1217 of the family's 2925-position model. Lineage: Bacteria; Pseudomonadati; Pseudomonadota; Gammaproteobacteria; Aeromonadales; Aeromonadaceae. The record is from RNAcentral.